This 51-nucleotide small nucleolar RNA is filed under the name Pyrobaculum aerophilum str. IM2. RNAcentral's name for it is "PAEsR123". The record is from RNAcentral. Lineage: Archaea; Thermoproteati; Thermoproteota; Thermoprotei; Thermoproteales; Thermoproteaceae.
GUGAUGUAGUGUCCCUUUGCCGACUCUGUGACGACGUACGCCACAGCCUGA